GUCCCCAUCGUCUAGCGGUCUAGGACUCCGCCCUUUCACGGCGGCAACACGGGUUCGAAUCCCGUUGGGGAUG
Molecule: transfer RNA, 73 nt
Filed under: Propionibacteriaceae bacterium
Lineage: Bacteria; Bacillati; Actinomycetota; Actinomycetes; Propionibacteriales; Propionibacteriaceae
Description: tRNA-Glu
Rfam family: tRNA
About the family: Transfer RNA (tRNA) molecules are approximately 80 nucleotides in length.
Source: RNAcentral